Hypomesus transpacificus is the source of this 1239-nucleotide long non-coding RNA. RefSeq lists it as uncharacterized. Lineage: Eukaryota; Metazoa; Chordata; Actinopteri; Osmeriformes; Osmeridae. The record is from RefSeq and is a predicted model, not a curated record. The transcript has 9 exons.
UAAGACUUUGCUAUUCAAGCAGGCUUUUAGUUAGUUGAGGGGUGUUUGUGGUUGUCUGUCAUGUUUCUAGUUCUAUUUAAAAUGUUCCUGUAUUCUUUAUUUGUAGUGUUAUAUUGCAUUUUGUUUUGAAGGACUUUGUGAUUUUAUCUGCGAGAGGUGCUAUACAUAUAAACUUUACUUAACUUACUUACUAAUCCGACCUUCUGGAGGACUUUUGUUUUUUACCAAAAAAGCAGUCUGCUAGAAUUUUGGCCUUAAAACUCACUCCUCAAGUUUGCUAUGGCAAGUAGCUGAUCACGAUCAUAUCCUUUUGACUUCAGCUACUGUUGGACUUCAGAAUUCAACUUCUUUAAACCUGUCCUUUCCGAGAUUGUUUUGCAGAACUCCUGUUGGUGUUGGACUCCUGAUUUCUGGAUUAUUUAGUGGAGUAUCCUGGAGUAUAUCGUUUCUUAGCCCUUGUUUUGGGCUAUCUGACACGUCUUUAAUGAGAUUGUGUUGGGAACAAAUAAUCACGAUGGUGUGGAUGGUGGACGCCUCAAACCAACCCAAAUCAAACCAACCAACCAAAACGUAAAAAGUACCAGUGCAGUGAAUCGACAAGUCAUGCAACCUGCCUUAUGUGUGGGGGGAGUACACUGAACCUGUAACGGGAAAUUCAGGGAGUUCUGGCAGACCCUUCAAUGAUGGGGACCAGAAUCUCAGUGUUCCAAGCCAGGCCUCAGGUGGAUGUACCAGCAGUGACCAAGAGGAGUUAAGGAUUACUAUAUUAACAUUACAACUAAGGAAACCAGGAUCCCAACCAGGCCAGUACGUGGUUAGCUUACUACAUGGGGACUUGGGGCAGGACACUGGACCUGCUGCUGGAUGUUCCGGGAGUUCUGUCAGACCUCUCAAUGAUUUGGACCAGAGUUCCAAUGUUCCAAGACAGUCCUGGGGGGGACGAACCAGGCAAGACCGGGAGGAGCUACAGCGUCUGAAGAGGGAGCGGACCUGUAAGGUGUGUCUGUAGGAGUGGGUCCACGUGGUCCUCAUCCCCUGUGGGCACCUGGUGUGUGAGGAGUGCCCCAGCAAGCGGCCAUCUUGUCCUCUCUGCAGAGGAGAGAUCCAGCAGCGCUUCAAUAUCUAUUUCUCAUAACCAUAUGAGUGCUAGACCAAACUGAGUUGAGUGGUGAGGGAGUCGGGCUAGUAAUCAGAAGGUUGCCGGAUCGAUUCCCCGCCCCGCCAAUAUGACGUUGUGUC